CUGCAAUUCAUCUAUAGUACGAUUCCAAACAGAUGACAGAUAGAGGUUCAGAAAUGUUUAUGAUUUAGAAUGUAUGUAAAACUGACAUCUUAAAGAUGUUUAUCAGAUGUUUAUACACAGCAGAUGUUUUCCAGAUGAAGCGAUCUUUACACCUUGCAUCUAACCUCUGCAGACAUACCUGUGCUAUCUGGGUUGUUUGUACACUCCAUUGAUCUACAAACUUGUGUUCCUGUAGGAUUCUCAUAUAUUCAGUAUGUAGAUGAGAGCUUAGACAAAUUUUACAGAAUUUCUGUCGUUUUCUUUCCAGACAACCCUUCCCCCUUUUCAUUAUCUGUCUUAGACCUGCUUUAUUUCCCAGCUUUAUUGCCCAAAAGCUCUUCUUCUUAUCUUCAGUUACCUGAAGACCCUCAGACUUCAUCAUAAUGUCAUCAUAAUAACUCAACCGCAUCAUUGGUUGCAUUUCUGAAGGGUCACUCUCUCUCCUGCUGCUGACCCAGAGAGUGUUUACCAGGGUAACACUUCAUUUUAAGGACCUGUUCUCUCUUUUAACUAGUUUCCUUUUAAUCUAGGUUUUUUUUGUUGUUGUUGUUGUUGUUGUUGUUGUUUUUAAUUAACAACAAGGUUGCUAGAUUAGUAGUCUAAACAGUUUACGCAGCCGGCCUCUGCGUGUUCUUUGAAAUGAACUGUUCAAAAGAACCGAUUCCCGAAAAUGACUCGGAGUCGUUGACUCGCUGAAAGCUGUUGUCCAAUCAAAGAGCAAAAAGAACACAGUGGGCGGUCCUCCGCGUUGGCGGUUGUGUUUGCAGCAGUCGAUCCUGCACAAAUUUUUUCGCGAAUUUAACGAGCUUCUUGCUAAUCAUUUGAAAUCCCACCACGACCAACUUUUAAACUGGACAAUCUAGUUUUUGUUGACCGGACCAAAUAAUCCAGCAAGCGAACCGAUCGCUCUGCUCGGACAUAUUUGAGGAUGGAGGAUAUGGAGGUGGAAGUCGCUCCAGUAUCCAGUGAGGCCAGUGUGAUUGUAGUCUCUGACUCCGAGAGCAGCACAGAAGAAGAGGGUGUUCCCAUGCAGGUUCAAAGCCCGUCUGAUCGACUCAGACUCUCAGGUCUUCGGGUGGUCAGGAGGAGACAUGUAACUGGUUCACGGACGCAGUUCUCCCCGCGUGAAGAGCGAAUCCGCAGACUCCGGGAGCUCAUCGUGGAGAAUCUGGCAGAGCGGCUGAGCGGCUCCCAGGACGCACCGAAUCCACAAGCGCUGGAUCCUGAACCGAGCUCCAGACACACCGCUGCUGUUGUGAAUGUGCCCACGUCUGAUCAAUCCAGCGCUACAGGUCCACUGCCGUUUCAUUUCUCAGUUCAUCACGCGUUCAUUUUCCCAGCUAACUUUUAAAUGAUUUAAUUAAGUUCUACAUGAACAGUUUACUAUUAGAAUUGCUGAUAUCAUUUUUGAUAAUAGAAGUAAUUGACAUAAUCUUAAAUUUAUAACAUAAGAGAUGCCCAAUAUAUCAUUAACAUAUCAAUUAUAGUAAUAUAAAUUUUUAAUUUAUCAUUAUAAUAGAUAUUGGAUAUAACUCAGUUGUUCCCCUAUUUUUACAUUUCAACUAACUCAAAAUUACAGCUAUUUUUAAAUGCACCAAUACUUUUUAUAACACUUUCAAAUUGAAUAGAUUUUCAUGCAUUAUUAUGAUGUCUAAAAUUGUACAUUUUAGGUUUUAUUAUUUUAAUGUGUCUGAAUAAAUUCUAAUAUCAUCUAAUAUUAAAAUAAAUU
Molecule: long non-coding RNA, 1768 nt
Organism: Cyprinus carpio (common carp)
Lineage: Eukaryota; Metazoa; Chordata; Actinopteri; Cypriniformes; Cyprinidae
Source: Ensembl